Molecule: long non-coding RNA, 1500 nt
Organism: Lotus japonicus
Lineage: Eukaryota; Viridiplantae; Streptophyta; Magnoliopsida; Fabales; Fabaceae
Exons: 9
Source: RefSeq, a predicted model, not a curated record
UGUUUCAUCUCCAUUUCGAAACCACAUAACUUGAAAACCUUUUGAAAUUCAAAUUCAAACUUGCUUUGGGAAUCUGCACCACAUUCAAUCUUCCAAGCUUCCAACAGAAGCUUUUACAUGAUGCAGAGAAAAAUUAGUAUCCAAAAAGCCCCAAUUCCAAAUCCACAUGCUAUAGAGUAUAGAUGCUGAAUUUUCCUUCUCCUCCCGAUGAUCCACCCACCGCGUCUUCCAUCUCCCAUUCAUUCAAAUGAAGAACGCCAAUCUUCAAUUCAAGAAAAACAUGUAGAAGAAGUAGCUUCGUCUGAGGAGGAUGAAGAAGAAGAUAAUCAAAUGUUAGGGCUUCCAAAUUAGAUGGUGUUUGCUCCUUCAUGGCCUUUCUCUUGACUGGGGAGAUUUCAGAGUUCUCUUCUUUUCCCCUCUCCGUCACGUUGGCCUACGAGUUCCGAUUACGCAAAUCCCUCUGCCAGAACCCCUCCUCCUCCAACAGAACCUGCCGCGGUGAGCUGCCGGAGCAGGACAAGUUUAUUAUGCGAGUGACUUUUCUCUAAUCGUUUCUCCGUUUAGAACCCUAGGAACUACAGAUUUGGCAAAUCAAUACAUUUGUAGGAUUACUGGACAUGUGGCCGAUUGGAGUUUUUACAAAUAACAGAUAAAUUUACAAGGAUGAUACUUUAUGGGCAUAUGGAUAGGACUACAGGAUCAAUGGUGUGGCUGUGACUGAUAAUGCUAUACAGGCACAGGUUAAAAUUCAAAUUAAUUUAGUAUUAGCUUGCUGUUCUGACCACCGACAACUUCAUCAUGGAAAAUGUGUAGUGAUCCUUUUUUUCAUGAAGAAUGAUGUGCAAUUCAAGACCUGGAAACAUAUGGUAUACUGGGGAAAAUGAUCACUGCUCUGAACCCUGUUCUGUUUACGGAAAUGAAACAGGUUGCUUGAAGCUUGAAUUUUGAUGAAAGACUCCAAAUAUUCUACUAGCAAGUCUUUUUAUUGGAAGCAAAAUCCUCAGGUGAGGUGUUAAUGCAGAGAAAGGACCAAGGAAUAAUCACUAUUGGAGAAGGCGCUUAUGCUUAAAAAGUGGCACAUUUAAUUAAGAUUUGUGCAGAGCUUAUGUUAAACACUACACAUAAAGUUAUUGCAUGGGCUAGCUGAUUGUGGUGUGGAGAGUGACAAUAUUGAUUGGACCACGGAAGAGAAACUAUUACAAAUUGUGGAGAGGAAAGCUUUUAGGUGUUUGUGCUGUUGUUGUGUUUGAUGCAAGGUGAAAAAUGUAUGUGUUCGGAGAGAUUAAAGCUUGCUUCAUUUUUCAGUUGAAAACUGCAAGUUGCUGUUGAAUGGUCUAAAGUGAAAUUUCUUUGUUGCUUUCAGAGGAUUAAUUGCAAGUGAAGGGUUAUGAUAAUUAAGUGAAAUAAUGUGUUUGAUGUGUAGAAGAUUUGAAGUGGGGUGCAUUUUAUACGGGCUGAUUGUGUGAUACUCAGUUAUGAUAAAUUAAUAUGUUUGUGUUA